CUCUGCAAAAGGGAGCCGGAGACGGCGCCACACUUUAUGUUCCAGUGUAGGUUCUCCAUGCGCAUUUGGAAUGCGGUGAGAUGUUGGCUUGACACGCCGGAGCUCGACACCGCCGACUGGGCUGGAAUCUCUUCGGUCCAUGAGUGGUGGACUAGAGCGGUCCUUGGUCACGGACAUCGGGGGAAGGCGGUCUCUUCGCUUAUAAUGCUAGUCUCUUGGGAGGUUUGGAAAGAGAGAAACGCGAGGGUGUUCCAGAAGAAAUCCUCGAUGCCUACCAUGGUGAUAGAGGGCAUCAAGGUGGAGGCCAGAAAUUGGGUUUUGGCCGGGGCUAAACACUUGGGAUCCUUGAUGCCGUGA
This 357-nucleotide ribosomal RNA is filed under the name Triticum aestivum (bread wheat). RNAcentral's name for it is "partial small subunit ribosomal RNA". The record is from RNAcentral. Lineage: Eukaryota; Viridiplantae; Streptophyta; Magnoliopsida; Poales; Poaceae.